AUGCAAGGGGAGCAACAUGAUACAUCAACUAUGGAUAUACGGUGGUCAAGACCGAAUGAAGAACAAAAUCUGCAGGUGUAUACACGAAGGCAUCAAACUAAAGAAGAACAGGUGCAGGGGGAGGAAAUAAUUUUGAUGGAGGAUGAUUCAGAAGUUCAAGUCCAAUCCGACAUGCAUGAUUCAAGCUCACGACCAUCAACUUCAUCCAAUACUGCAUCACCAGCCUCCACAAGUGAUGGUAUACUUUCUCUUCAUUAUGAUGACUUGAACGUUCCUAUUGGCCAUAGAAAGCAGCCUCACACUAUUGCCGGAAAAUUACCCUCUAAGUUAUCCCCAUAUGAUGUUUCAAAUUAA
Molecule: ribosomal RNA, 354 nt
Filed under: Triticum aestivum (bread wheat)
Lineage: Eukaryota; Viridiplantae; Streptophyta; Magnoliopsida; Poales; Poaceae
Description: partial small subunit ribosomal RNA
Source: RNAcentral